Molecule: unclassified non-coding RNA, 379 nt
Filed under: Hevea brasiliensis (rubber tree)
Lineage: Eukaryota; Viridiplantae; Streptophyta; Magnoliopsida; Malpighiales; Euphorbiaceae
Source: RNAcentral
UGAUGAGAUAGUUGAUAUGGUAGAAGUUUGUUCAAUUCAGUUAUGACAAUUUUUGAAGAUUCUCAGUUUCCUUUGGCUCUGCCAUUCUGCUUUAAAAGUGUUCAAUUUAGGACUGUGGCAUGGACAUUAUUAUGUGUUGGUUUGACCUGAUAAAAUGAUAGGGGGAUAUGAGUUCAACAACAUUUUAGAAGUUAAUACUCAGCAUUUGUAGACUAAUGUUAACAGCUACUCCAUGAGUAACAAAAAAUGUGUAAUAGGGAUGACAGUCGGAAAGAGCAUCUCCUCCUUUCCUCCUAGCAUUUUAGAUAUUUAUAGAAGUUUGAUCCUGAAAUGAAAUCAUGAUGUUAAUUUUUAUAUGCACAAUCACCCAAGUUGGAAG